Molecule: ribosomal RNA, 396 nt
Filed under: uncultured bacterium
Lineage: Bacteria
Description: partial 16S ribosomal RNA
Rfam family: Bacterial small subunit ribosomal RNA
Source: RNAcentral
AUACGUAGGGGGCGAGCGUUGUCCGGAAUGAUUGGGCGUAAAGGGCGCGUAGGCGGCCCGGUAAGUCUGGAGUGAAAGUCCUGUUUUUAAGAUGGGAAUUGCUUUGGAUACUGUCGGGCUUGAGUGCAGGAGAGGUAAGUGGAAUUCCCAGUGUAGCGGUGAAAUGUGUAGAGAUUGGGAGGAACACCAGUGGCGAAGGCGACUUACUGGACUGUAACUGACGCUGAGGUGCGAAAGUGUGGGGAGCAAACAGGAUUAGAUACCCUGGUAGUCCACACUGUAAACGAUGAAUGCUAGGUGUAGGGGGUAUCGACCCCUUCUGUGCCGCAGUCAACACAAUAAGCAUUCCGCCUGGGGAGUACGGCCGCAAGGUUGAAACUCAAAUGAAUUGACGGG